This 1378-nucleotide ribosomal RNA is filed under the name Arthrobacter psychrochitiniphilus. RNAcentral's name for it is "bacterial SSU rRNA". It matches the Rfam family "Bacterial small subunit ribosomal RNA". Lineage: Bacteria; Bacillati; Actinomycetota; Actinomycetes; Micrococcales; Micrococcaceae. The record is from RNAcentral.
CGAACGAUGAACCUCGCUUGCGGGGGGAUUAGUGGCGAACGGGUGAGAACACGUGAGUAACCUGCCCUUAACUCUGGGAUAAGCCUUGGAAACGGGGUCUAAUACUGGAUAUUGACUUUAUCUCGCAUGGGGUUUGGUUGAAAGAUUUAUUGGUUUUGGAUGGACUCCCGGCCUAUCAGCUUGUUGGUGAGGUAAUGGCUCACCAAGGCGACGACGGGUAGCCGGCCUGAGAGGGUGACCGGCCACACUGGGACUGAGACACGGCCCAGACUCCUACGGGAGGCAGCAGUGGGGAAUAUUGCACAAUGGGCGAAAGCCUGAUGCAGCGACGCCGCGAGGGAUGACGGCCUUCGGGUUGUAAACCUCUUUCAGUAGGGAACAAGGCCAGCAUUUUUGUUGGUUGAGGGUACUUGCAGAAGAAGCGCCGGCUAACUACGUGCCAGCAGCCGCGGUAAUACGUAGGGCGCAAGCGUUAUCCGGAAUUAUUGGGCGUAAAGAGCUCGUAGGCGGUUUGUCGCGUCUGCCGUGAAAGUCCGGGGCUCAACUCCGGAUCUGCGGUGGGUACGGGCAGACUAGAGUGAUGUAGGGGAGACUGGAAUUCCUGGUGUAGCGGUGAAAUGCGCAGAUAUCAGGAGGAACACCGAUGGCGAAGGCAGGUCUCUGGGCAUUAACUGACGCUGAGGAGCGAAAGCAUGGGGAGCGAACAGGAUUAGAUACCCUGGUAGUCCAUGCCGUAAACGUUGGGCACUAGGUGUGGGGGACAUUCCACGUUUUCGCGCCGUAGCUAACGCAUUAAGUGCCCCGCCUGGGGAGUACGGCCGCAAGGCUAAAACUCAAAGGAAUUGACGGGGGCCCGCACAAGCGGCGGAGCAUGCGGAUUAAUUCGAUGCAACGCGAAGAACCUUACCAAGGCUUGACAUGAACUGGAAAUACCUGGAAACAGGUGCCCCGCUUGCGGUCGGUUUACAGGUGGUGCAUGGUUGUCGUCAGCUCGUGUCGUGAGAUGUUGGGUUAAGUCCCGCAACGAGCGCAACCCUCGUUCUAUGUUGCCAGCACGUUAUGGUGGGGACUCAUAGGAGACUGCCGGGGUCAACUCGGAGGAAGGUGAGGACGACGUCAAAUCAUCAUGCCCCUUAUGUCUUGGGCUUCACGCAUGCUACAAUGGCCGGUACAAUGGGUUGCGAUACUGUGAGGUGGAGCUAAUCCCAAAAAGCCGGUCUCAGUUCGGAUUGGGGUCUGCAACUCGACCCCAUGAAGUCGGAGUCGCUAGUAAUCGCAGAUCAGCAACGCUGCGGUGAAUACGUUCCCGGGCCUUGUACACACCGCCCGUCAAGUCACGAAAGUUGGUAACACCCGAAGCCGGUGGCCUAACCCCCUU